GGUUUGGGGUCGCUGCAUCCUUUUGGGGUUACUCUGUGCUGGUUUGGGGUCGCUGUGUGGGUUUGGGGUCGCUUUGUGCCAGUUUGGGGUCACUGUGUGCGGGUUUGGGGUCGCUGUGUGGGUUUGGGGUCUCUGUGUGCGGUUUUGGGGUCGCUGUGUGUGGGUUUGGGGUCACUGUGCGGGUUUGGGGUCACUGUGCGGGUUUGGGGUCACUCUGUGCCGGUUUGGGGUCACUGCAUCCUUUUGGGGUCACUCUGUGUGGGUUUGGGGUCAGUGUGUGCGGGUUUGGGGUCACUCUGUGCCGGAUUGGGGUCACUGUGCACGGGUUUGGGGUCGCUGCAUCCUUUUGGGGUCACUCUGUGCUGGUUUGGGGUCGCUGUGUGGGUUUGGGGUCGCUUUGUGCCAGUUUGGGGUCACUGCGUGGGUUUGGGGUCGCUGUGAGGGUUUGGGGUCACUGUGUGGUUUUGGGGUCACUGUGUGGUUUUGGGGUCGCUGUGUGCGGUUUUGGGGUCGCUGUGUGCGGUUUUGGGGUUGCUGCGUGGGUUUGGGGUCGCUGUGUGCGGGUUUGGGGUCACUCUGUGCCUGUUUGGGGUCGCUGUGCGGGUUUGGGGUCACUCUGUGCGGGUUUGGGGUCGCUGUGCCUGUUUGGGGUCACUCUGUGCCUGCUUGGGGUCACUGCAUGGGUUUGGGGUCACUGUGUGGGUUUAGGGUCGCUGCAUCCUUUUGGGGUCACCGUGUGUGGGUUUGGGGUCACUGUGUGUGGGUUUGGGGUCGCUGUGCCUGUUUGGGGUUGCUCCGUGCCUUUUCGGGAUCACUGCCCCUGUUUGGGGUCAUUCUGGGCCUUUUUGGGGGUGCGGGGUCUUCGAUGGGGCUCUUCAGGAUCAGAGUGGGGAGUUUUGUGGCACCACAUUGGGGUCUGUCUGCCAUGGGGCCGUUUUUGGGGCCGUUUUUGGGGCCGUUUUUGGGGCCAUUUUUGGGGCCGUUCCUGGAGUUUUCAGCUCUUUCAUGACGUCAUUUUCCUUCGCUAUUUUGGGCCGUUUUGGGCUCUUCCUGGGGUCGCUUUGGGGCUUUUUCUGCAGCUUUGUGAAUCUAUGGGGCCUCGUUAGGGCCCACCAUUUUGGGGCUAUUUUGGGGCUUUUUGGACACUUUGGGGUCACGUUAUUGGUUUCUUUUAGGGACAUCGCGUUGCCAUGCCACCUUCAGGGCCAAUUCCUGGGGCCUCUUCUCUGGGAAUUCAUUUGGGUUUCUUUGUUUUUUGG
This 1259-nucleotide long non-coding RNA is filed under the name Numida meleagris (helmeted guineafowl). Its description in RNAcentral is "lncRNA (ENSNMEG00000002015.1)". The record is from RNAcentral. Lineage: Eukaryota; Metazoa; Chordata; Aves; Galliformes; Numididae.